UCCGGCCGGGCGCGGGGCGCGGUGCACCACUGGCUCGCCGCCCGGCCCGGCAUGGAGGAGCGCGGCGGUGCCGAGCCCACGCCGGGCUGCAGCGGCCUGGGCCCAGGCGGCGUUCGCGGCGGCGGCGCCCACUCAUGGGCUCCGGAGGACGCCUGGAUGGGCACCCACCCUAAGUAUUUAGAAAUGAUGGAAUUAGAUAUAGGAGAUGCCAGCCAAGUUUACAUAGCAUUCUUGGUUUACCUGGACCUCAUGGAGAGUAAAAGUUGGCAUGAAGUGAAUUGUGUGGGCUUACCAGAUCUACAGCUCAUCUGCCUUGUCGGUACUGAGAUAGAAGGAGAAGGAUUACAGACUGUGGUGCCUACACCCAUCAGUGCUUCCCUUAGCCAUAACAGGCAGCAGAGCCACCAUGAUGAACAAGAAGUUCUUCAUCUGGAGGACUGCGGCUCGGCUGGAGGGAGGCAUAUAUAAACAGCUAGUAGGUUUAACACAGAAGGCAACAGAAGCCCAGAGAGGUAAACUGACUUACCUAAGGCCACACAGCUACUUAAUAACACAUUUGAGAACAGACUCAGUCUCCUGACUUCCAACUCCACUACUUACUGGGAUGGCAUCUGUGUUGGGGGUUUGCUCUACACUCAGAACCUCCAUGGCCGUUAGCCUGACAGGUAGUUCAUUCACCUCUCUCACUUUGCAAUCUCCCCCAAGGGACUUUUAAGUUCCUGGGGAACGCUGUAUGUGGAAUAAAAUGCAAGGUUCCUGGCCUAGAAUCAGAUGGCACCAAGAAAAAUCCUGGAGAAAAUGACGCACCUCGUGCACGUCCCCUUCGAGAGGGCAAUUAUGGCUGGAGAAGAAUGGGCAGAGGAAUGUAUCAGUCAUCUAUCUCACAAGAAUGCUCUUGACCUAAAACAGCUCUUCUUUUCUCAAGAAAGCAGCCACACUGAGUCUGGCUCUCACAAGUCUGUCUUGCAAAUUCUCAUGCACAACUUCUUGAAUUGAUAUAUAUUCCCAUCGGGUGCUUCAGAGAAGCUCUGACCUUUUUCUCGACAGGCAAAAAUGUGCAUUUUGGCACCAGAUUAUCGGAUGGAAAAAUACAGGCAUUUUCCAAGCCCUAAACACAGAGUGUGCCAUCUAUUAGUUUGGAUUUCUUCCUUAACUAUCAUCAUACUAAUAUGUGGUGGUUUUUCCAAGAAGAAAUGAAUCCAAAUCUAUUUUGGACUCAGAAUCCCGGAAGCCUGGGUUUUAUCACUGGCUGGUCACAGAUGCACUGAAAAUGGAUUCUGAUUUUGGGGAAUCCAAACUGAGAUGGGCAUAUUUUGCUACCUGAAAUGGCCUGGACCUAUAUUUGCUCUUAAGGAGAGCAAGAAUUUGGAGUACAGAAUUUCUGACAGCUGCUGCUACCACCUAGAAAUUGUUACUGAACAACAUGAAGCAAUAUGGCAAGGCUGAAACUGGCUUGUUUUCUCCGAAGACUUAAAGAAAUUUGGAGGCGUCAAUCUUCACAUUCCUCAUGGUGGAAGGCUUAAAGAGCAAGCCACAUCCGAGCUGGCCUUGAAAACUCUGCCUGGCUGAAGUUCCCAUUGUCACCUUUUUCAGGAAUUGCCUCCUUUCCUUAAGACGGUCUGACUAGGUUUGUAACUCAAAUGGCUUUCAUCAAAACAACACCCUGCACCAGGUGCUGGCCAUUCAGUGACCUGUGACCGAGCUGUGCCUUACCUACUGUCUUUCUGGACCUCUGUGCCAGCCUCUGCAGCCAGAUUAGUUCUUUCAGAGCUUGCACUGGGUCCCGGCUUCUCCUCAGCAACAGCAGUCCAGGGAUGACAGGUGCCAUGCUUUCUGCACAAGUCUUCAUCUGCGGAAACAAGAGGGCUUAUUGUCCGUCCUUCCUGACAUUUCUCACUGCCACUCUGCACUAGACUCCAUUCAUGUUCACUACCUGGAAAUCCUGGACCAGGGGAUAAGCAUCCCUUACCCCAUUUUCAGGUAAAAUCACACCAGUUUUCCUUGGGAGAUGAACUCUCCAUCACUGAAUGAAUACUUGAUGACCUACCCUACUGAAUUAAAGGUGUGGAAAGUAACAUGAGCCAGACCAGCUUUACAGAUGGAAACACUGAAUCUCCAAGAGGCGGUGAAAGAGGCCCACGGUCCCACCUUAGGAGGCGAGAAGGAGGCACACACCUGCCUGCCCCCGGAAUGGACACUCUCCGUCGUACCCAGACACUGCCUCCACCGACGCGGAACACAUACAGGACCCGCAGUAGUUUCGGUUACAUAUAAAGUGGGUUAUAAAAACGUCAUUUAGUGCCCUGUAAUAUGCAUUCUAUAGCCUUGUGAUGGGGAAUGAAUGUGCAGAGCCAAGGAAGUCGUGUACAUUUUGAAAUGAUCUUCCUGGGAAGAAGCACACUGUUUGUCAAUAUCAAAUCUUAUCUCGUUUGAAGUUCCCAGACUCUCUGGAGCUCUAAUAAGAAGUAGCUUGUUAAUCUUUGAAAUACAAAUGCUGAUCAGCAGAGGUUUUUUUUUUUUUUAUUUUCCCUCUUCUGUCGUUUAGGGCCUCUGUGGGAGGGAAGAUAAUGUUAACAUAUGCAUGCUUACUCUCUUACAGAAAACCAUCUCUUUAUUUACCUGAGCUUCUCCUCAUGUCCCUGGACAAGUAAUUAAACCAAAUCAUUGACCUCUUCUGCAGCA
RNA transcript from Leopardus geoffroyi (Geoffroy's cat), 2682 nucleotides. It is a transcript of the gene named tRNA splicing endonuclease subunit 15, with no coding region annotated. The transcript has 16 exons. The record is from RefSeq and is a predicted model, not a curated record. Lineage: Eukaryota; Metazoa; Chordata; Mammalia; Carnivora; Felidae.